RNAcentral lists this non-coding RNA (55 nucleotides) under Schistosoma mattheei. Lineage: Eukaryota; Metazoa; Platyhelminthes; Trematoda; Strigeidida; Schistosomatidae. The record is from RNAcentral.
ACUCUGCUGAAGAGUCCCAAAAUAAGACGAAACGGCCAUCCAGUGCUUCCAGGAU